Dicentrarchus labrax (European seabass) is the source of this 234-nucleotide long non-coding RNA. RefSeq lists it as uncharacterized. The record is from RefSeq and is a predicted model, not a curated record. The transcript is spliced from 3 exons. Lineage: Eukaryota; Metazoa; Chordata; Actinopteri; Moronidae.
UCUCCUUCUUUCUUCUUUUCUUUCUUUUUGCAUCAUUUUAGGCUGCUGAAAAUGCAAAAAAUAUUUCACUACAAUGAAGUAAAAGAAACAACUAAAGGAGGGAAGAGAAGAGGUAAAAGUGAGCUGGCUGCCUUGUUCCUCAUGUGGCAAAACUUGGGAAGACACCUGGGAGCCUGCCAGCAACUUUAUAGGCUCCAUUUAAUGUUUUUGUUUCUGUGUCUUUAAGACACCUGU